Molecule: non-coding RNA, 148 nt
Filed under: Paenibacillus selenitireducens
Lineage: Bacteria; Bacillati; Bacillota; Bacilli; Caryophanales; Paenibacillaceae
Description: FMN sequence
Rfam family: FMN riboswitch aptamer (RFN element)
About the family: The RFN element is a highly conserved domain that is found frequently in the 5'-untranslated regions of prokaryotic mRNAs that encode for flavin mononucleotide (FMN) biosynthesis and transport proteins. This element is a metabolite-dependent riboswitch that directly binds FMN in the absence of proteins.
Source: Rfam by way of RNAcentral
AAGGAUCUUCGGGGUAGGGUGCAAUUCCCAACCGGCGGUGAUGUUCAUGAUGAACGAGCCCGCGACUCCUCUAGCUGACAGCAGCACGGGGGACUGACUUGGUGCGAAUCCAGGGCCGACGGUACAGUCCGGAUGGUAGAAGAUCAUC